Acinonyx jubatus (cheetah) is the source of this 266-nucleotide long non-coding RNA. RefSeq lists it as uncharacterized. The transcript is spliced from 2 exons. Lineage: Eukaryota; Metazoa; Chordata; Mammalia; Carnivora; Felidae. The record is from RefSeq and is a predicted model, not a curated record.
ACACAGACACGGGGACAUGAGGACACGGACAAGGGAGAGCACAGUGUCUACACAGACUUCUGACCUCCAGCCUGGGGGCCACCGCCUGGCCCUCCAGCCUUCCCAUGGGUGGCUGAGACCCAUCAGUGGAGCAGGAGACACGGCACGGGGGCUCUGGAGACCUGGCUUCAGACCUUGCAUGACCUUGAUCAAGUCACUUCUCUCUGAACUUCAAUUUUUCCUGCUUUUGUUCUUGAGAUGUAAAAAAAAAAACAAAAAAACAAAAA